AGCGGUAAAGUAAGAUGUUGUGCCAGAAAGCAGUGUCUUAUGAGCUUUAUAAGGGUUUAACACAAUCUGGCUAGAGGUUAGUCCUCGAAAGAAAAUGUAA
RNAcentral lists this small RNA (100 nucleotides) under Fusicatenibacter saccharivorans. RNAcentral's name for it is "drum RNA". It matches the Rfam family "drum RNA". From Rfam's summary of the family: Firmicutes, Bacteroidetes (1 example), Proteobacteria (2 examples), Spirochaetes (2 examples). Terminator (Clostridia) Lineage: Bacteria; Bacillati; Bacillota; Clostridia; Lachnospirales; Lachnospiraceae. RNAcentral also lists the same sequence under 1 other name. The record is from RNAcentral.